GGGUCAGUAGGUUGGUCGUGCCACCGGUACGUACUGGUCUCACUGAUUCCUCCUUCCUGAAGAACGGUAAUUCCAUUAAUUUGGUGUUGCGGGGAAACAGGACUGCUACUUUGAAAAAAUUAGAGUGUUUAAAGCAAGCUAACGCUUGAAUACAUUAGCAUGGAAUAAUGAAAUAGGACGAUCGAUCCUAUUUUGUUGGUUUCUAGGAUUGACGUA
This 216-nucleotide ribosomal RNA is filed under the name Glomeromycotina sp. Its description in RNAcentral is "partial small subunit ribosomal RNA". The stretch from base 40 to 216 matches the Rfam family "Eukaryotic small subunit ribosomal RNA", at positions 686 to 864 of the family's 1831-position model. Lineage: Eukaryota; Fungi; Glomeromycota. The record is from RNAcentral.